UAUGUGAUCGUCUCUCGCAUAUCAAUAAGCGGAGGAAAAGAAACUAACAAGGAUUCCCCUAGUAACGGCGAGUGAAGCGGGAAGAGCUCAAAUUUGAAAUCUUAAAGGGUUUCCCUUUACGAAUUGUAGUUUAAAGAAGUGUUUUCUGUUGAGGUUUUGGUAAAAGUUCUUUGGAAUAGGACAUCAUAGAGGGUGAGAAUCCCGUAUUUGACCUUUACUUUCAACUUUGUGAUACACUUUCAAAGAGUCGGAUUGUUUGGGAAUGCAGUCCAAAAUGGGUGGUAAAUUUCAUCUAAAGCUAAAUAUUGGCGAGAGACCGAUAGCGAACAAGUACCGUGAGGGAAAGAUGAAAAGAACUUUGAAAAGAGAGUUAGACAGUACGUGAAAUUGUCAAAAGGGAAGCGUUUGACACCAGUGUUGUUUUUCUGAAAAUCAAUUAAAGAACUGUUUAUGCUAAGCUGUUUAGACUUUAUCAGCUAACUGUUUAGUUUUGAGCUUUUCUCUAUUGCACUUUUCAGUUAACAAGUCAACAUCAAUUUCUUUUGCUGUAAAAAAGCUUGAGGAAGGUGGCUUGAGAUUCGUCUUAAGUGUUUAUAGCCUCUUGCCUAUGCAGUCGGAGAGAUUGAGGUCUGCAGCGUAGAUCCUUCGGGGCUAAAUGCAUUUGUGCUAAGUUAUAGCAUUUUAUAGACAACUUGUUGACUAUGAUUUGUCUUGUAGCUUACUCGCUUAUGUUAUUUUACCUACGCUUAGGAUGUUGAGUAGCGACAUACGCAC
RNAcentral lists this ribosomal RNA (774 nucleotides) under uncultured Neocallimastigales. Its description in RNAcentral is "partial large subunit ribosomal RNA". It matches the Rfam family "Eukaryotic large subunit ribosomal RNA", at positions 24 to 649 of the family's 3401-position model. Lineage: Eukaryota; Fungi; Neocallimastigomycota; Neocallimastigomycetes; Neocallimastigales. The record is from RNAcentral.